RNAcentral lists this long non-coding RNA (302 nucleotides) under Trifolium pratense (red clover). Its description in RNAcentral is "long non-coding RNA (TPRA_LNC002857)". Lineage: Eukaryota; Viridiplantae; Streptophyta; Magnoliopsida; Fabales; Fabaceae. The record is from RNAcentral.
CAAUGCUAUUGCUAGAUAGAAGUCAUUUUGGCAAUAGCUUGCGAUGUGGACGAUGAAAUAAUCUUGUAUCAUUUUUUUUAAUGCACCACUUUUAAAUAGUUGGUAUUGUAUUGUUACCUUUUUUUUUUGGUUACAAAGUUGGUAUUGUAUUGUUACUUUGAUUUGAUUCUUCUUCUUCGUUGUGAUCAUGUGUCAUCAUACAGUGUAAUUGGAUUUUUUUUGGCCUAUUGACUUUAUAAUUUGAUUGGUAAAAAAUUGUAAUGUCCCAAAAUGCUACAGGUCAAUUAUUAAUAUUAUGGGAG